Molecule: small RNA, 153 nt
Filed under: Chlorocebus sabaeus (green monkey)
Lineage: Eukaryota; Metazoa; Chordata; Mammalia; Primates; Cercopithecidae
Description: Clostridiales-1 RNA (ENSCSAG00000027047.1)
Source: RNAcentral
ACUAUAUGACUGUGUGUACAUAUACAUACAUGCACACAUACAUGUAUGCAUGUGCACACAUACCUGUGUGCAUAUCCAUGCAUAUAUGCAUACGUGUAUACAUGCAUGUAUACAUGUGUGCAUGCACAUGUGUAUACAUAUGUGUAAUACAAU